UACUCCUACGGGAGGCAGCAGCUAAGAAUAUUCCGCAAUGGACGAAAGUCUGACGGAGCGACGCCGCGUGGAUGAAGAAGGCCGAAAGGUUGUAAAGUUCUUUUGCUAGGGGAGAAUAAGUGAGGGAGGGAAUGCCCUCAUGAUGACAAGGACUAGCGAAUAAGCCCCGGCCAACUACGUGCCAGCAGCCGCGGUAACACGUAGGGGGCGAGCGUUGUUCGGAAUUACUGGGCGUAAAGGGCAUGUAGGCGGCUUGGUAAGCCUGGCGUGAAAGACUGCAGCUUAACUGUAGGGAUGCGUUGGGAACUGCUUAGCUUGAGUUACGGAGAGGGAGCUGGAAUUCCUGGUGUAGGGGUGAAAUCUGUAGAUAUCAGGAAGAACACCGAUGGCGAAGGCAAGCUUCUGGUCGAUAACUGACGCUGAGGUGCGAAAGUGUGGGGAUCAAACAGGAUUAGAUACCCUGGUAGUCA
This 470-nucleotide ribosomal RNA is filed under the name uncultured Treponema sp. RNAcentral describes it as "bacterial SSU rRNA". It matches the Rfam family "Bacterial small subunit ribosomal RNA", at positions 334 to 796 of the family's 1533-position model. The record is from RNAcentral. Lineage: Bacteria; Pseudomonadati; Spirochaetota; Spirochaetia; Treponematales; Treponemataceae.